GACGAACGCUGGCGGCGUGCUUAACACAUGCAAGUCGAACGGAAAGGCCCUGCUUUUGUGGGGUGCUCGAGUGGCGAACGGGUGAGUAACACGUGAGUAACCUGCCCUUGACUUUGGGAUAACUUCAGGAAACUGGGGCUAAUACCGGAUAGGAGCUCCUGCUGCAUGGUGGGGGUUGGAAAGUUUCGGCGGUUGGGGAUGGACUCGCGGCUUAUCAGCUUGUUGGUGGGGUAGUGGCUUACCAAGGCUUUGACGGGUAGCCGGCCUGAGAGGGUGACCGGCCACAAUGGGACUGAGGUACGGCCCAGACUCCUACGGGAGGCAGCAGUGGGGAAUAUUGCACAGUGAGCGGAAGCCUGAUGCGGCAACGCCGCGUGCGGGAUGACGGCCUUCGGGUUAUAAACCGCUUUCGCCUGUGACGAAGCGUGAGUGACGGUAAUGGGUAAAGAAGCACCGGCUAACUACGUG
This 468-nucleotide ribosomal RNA is filed under the name uncultured bacterium. RNAcentral describes it as "partial 16S ribosomal RNA". It matches the Rfam family "Bacterial small subunit ribosomal RNA", at positions 28 to 507 of the family's 1533-position model. The record is from RNAcentral.